RNAcentral lists this long non-coding RNA (1222 nucleotides) under Homo sapiens (human). Its description in RNAcentral is "non-protein coding lnc-SEMA4D-4:1". The record is from RNAcentral. Lineage: Eukaryota; Metazoa; Chordata; Mammalia; Primates; Hominidae.
GACGUUAAGGGCCGCAGAGCGCGUGCGCAGGAACGUGGAAAGUUCCAGGACACGGAACCGUUGGGACGGAGGACCUGAAGGUGGAGUGAGGUAUCACGGGGUUUGGUGAUGACGUAGUCGGUCGAGGCCGGAAGCGUGGGCCACAGGGCUUUGAGCGGAAGCUGUCGACCUUGCACGGUGAUGGCGCUCCUCGUGAUCCCUUGUAUCCCCUCAGGCUCGAGCCAGGAGCCUAGGUCCACUUUGAAAAGUAGUAAAAGGCAGAAAGGUUCUGCGGUGUGAGGGGGAGGGCGGCUUCGUGGUCGGCUGGGUCGGGGGAGCGCCGGGCGGCCGCGGCGUGGCUGUGUCCGGGGCUGCCCUGCGCAGCCGGCCGUUUCGCCGCCUGGUGCACUUGCUGAGCUUCCGGCCUGGCCCGUCGCGGGGCUCCUGGCGCCCCCCUAGACGACUGUGUGGAGAAUGGAGCCUGCGGAGCCACGCGUAGAGAGAGGCCCGGAGCCGGCGCGGUGGCGGCGGGCGCCAGUGGUCCCAGCCACUCGGGAGGCCGAGGUGGAGUGUCGCUUGAGCCCAGGAGUUCCAGACAGGCCUGAGCAACAGAGCCAGACCCCGUCUCCACAAAGAAAGAAACAAAUGGGCCAGAGACCCAGAAUGCUUUCUGUAGCCUAACCUAAUGUUCAAAACCAGGGCAGACCCAAGCCAUGGAAAGCUUGAGGGAAUAAAAUAAUAUUCUGCUGCGGCCAAGAAUAACAAUGCUAAUUCCUGGAUAAGGGGAUUUAAAAUGAUGUUUAACAACUUCUGGUCUUUUAAUAUUGACCCAAGUUUAAAAACAUGUUCAUAUAAAAAAGUUACUGGAAGAAAUUUAUAAAUGUAACUGGUGGUUAUUUUUAGAUGACAGAAUUAAAAGUGAUCUUUUUGGUAUUUUUUCCACAACGAGCACGUGUCAUUUUUAUGUUAAUUUCAUUUUAUGCGAAAUGCUCCAGCGCAGUACAGGCUAGUGGGUUCAGGGUGGCUGUGACUAAGUAAUGUAGAUGGGGUACCUUAGACAAAGUUUCCAGACUAGAGGCUGGAAGUAAGAGGUCCGGGUGCCCUUUUCCACACUGCAGACCACGGACUUUUCCGGUUUCUGAACAAGUGAGACAGGCCGGCUAAGGACAUUUAUAAUCUCCAUGGGUGAGGGCCCCACCCUCAUGACCAUCUAAUCUUGAUUACCUCCCGAAGGCCCCACCUC